Molecule: long non-coding RNA, 773 nt
Organism: Lolium rigidum
Lineage: Eukaryota; Viridiplantae; Streptophyta; Magnoliopsida; Poales; Poaceae
Exons: 3
Source: RefSeq, a predicted model, not a curated record
UUGAUGACAGCAGCUGCCUGGAGGCGGCGGUGGAUGGAUGACACAUUGCAAAGAAGGUUGUUCUCUGAAGCCUUUUGAAUGAGGGAACUCGGUCAUUUCAUCUGCAUCAUCAUUGCAGGUUCCUAUUACACAGAGAGUGAAGUUCAAAUUUGUUGGAUUGAUUGGUGUGUCCCCGAUGGUACCACCGCUAGUUUACCGCAGGAUGAUGGGUAUUUCGGAAAAACACCUACAGUUAGUAAACAUGGCUAUGCUGAUUAGCUAAUUAUGUACACAAAUAGUAUCUCUUCUCUAACAUGAUCACAUAAAAAUGGUUAAUUGUUUAGUUUGCACUAAGAAAUCUCCUUAUGGCAAUUACUGUCUGAUGCAGGGUCUCCCGAAGGCGGAAAUCAAGCAUGUGCAAUGUAUUUCAUUGUCACAAUAAUUGCUUCUUAUUUCGGGUACUCAAAUUAUUGUUUCUUUGUAUGGGAGUAUGCAUUUAAUUUACCUACUGAUUUUAAAAGGUUGCUUUCAACCAUGCACUUCUAUGCUAUUGUGAAAUUGAGUAGGACUUAAACUGUAACUUUAGUUUUCAUUCACUGUCGGUGCAAUCUUAUUGAACUGCUGGUUAUAGUUUACUACAGGAAAUCCAAUACCCCUUCUAAAAUUCAUGCCACACUGUUGCAAUGAGUUGGCGGUGGUUAAUAUAUGAGCUCAAUAGCACUAUGGGCCUCAAGAAUACCACACUUGAGGUUGCUAAUAUACUUGAUUCAAAUAUCAGAAACCAGUCAUUUGGA